Molecule: small nuclear RNA, 110 nt
Organism: Myotis myotis
Lineage: Eukaryota; Metazoa; Chordata; Mammalia; Chiroptera; Vespertilionidae
Source: RefSeq, a predicted model, not a curated record
GUGCUUGCUUCAGCAGCACAUAUACUAAAAUCAGAACGAUACUGAGAAGAUUAGCAUGGCCCCUGCGCAAGGAUGAUGACAUGCAAAUUUGUGAAGUGUUCCAUAUUUUU